GUACACUCCUGCGGGAGGCAGCAGUGGGGAAUAUUGGACAAUGGGCGCAAGCCUGAUCCAGCCAUGCCGCGUGAGUGAUGAAGGCCCUAGGGUUGUAAAGCUCUUUCACCGGUGAAGAUAAUGACGGUAACCGGAGAAGAAGCCCCGGCUAACUUCGUGCCAGCAGCCGCGGUAAUACGAAGGGGGCUAGCGUUGUUCGGAUUUACUGGGCGUAAAGCGCACGUAGGCGGACUAUUAAGUCAGGGGUGAAAUCCCGGGGCUCAACCCCGGAACUGCCUUUGAUACUGGUAGUCUUGAGUUCGAGAGAGGUGAGUGGAAUUCCGAGUGUAGAGGUGAAAUUCGUAGAUAUUCGGAGGAACACCAGUGGCGAAGGCGGCUCACUGGCUCGAUACUGACGCUGAGGUGCGAAAGCGUGGGGAGCAAACAGGAUUAGAAACCCUUGUAGUCCCAUGA
Molecule: ribosomal RNA, 453 nt
Filed under: uncultured organism
Description: partial 16S ribosomal RNA
Rfam family: Bacterial small subunit ribosomal RNA
Source: RNAcentral